Molecule: ribosomal RNA, 441 nt
Filed under: uncultured bacterium
Lineage: Bacteria
Description: partial 16S ribosomal RNA
Rfam family: Bacterial small subunit ribosomal RNA
Source: RNAcentral
CCUACGGGUGGCAGCAGUGGGGAAUAUUGGGCAAUGGGCGCAAGCCUGACCCAGCAAUGCCGCGUGAAGGAAGAAGGCUUUCGGGUUGUAAACUUCUUUGACAGGGGAAGAGCAGAAGACGGUACCCUGAAAACAAGCCACGGCUAACUACGUGCCAGCAGCCGCGGUAAUACGUAGGUGGCAAGCGUUAUCCGGAUUUAUUGGGUUUAAAGGGUGCGUAGGCGGGCUUUUAAGUCAGCGGUAAAAAUUCGGGGCUCAACCCCGUCCGGCCGUUGAAACUGGGGGCCUUGAGUGGGCGAGAAGAAGGCGGAAUGCGUGGUGUAGCGGUGAAAUGCAUAGAUAUCACGCAGAACCCCGAUUGCGAAGGCAGCCUUCCGGCGCCCUACUGACGCUGAGGCACGAAAGUGCGGGGAUCGAACAGGAUUAGAUACCCUUGUAGUC